This is a small nuclear RNA of 151 nucleotides. Its record names the gene U2. It matches the Rfam family "U2 spliceosomal RNA". From Rfam's summary of the family: U2 is a small nuclear RNA (snRNA) component of the spliceosome (involved in pre-mRNA splicing). The record is from Ensembl.
AUCGCUUCUCGGCCUUUUGGCUAAGAUCAAGUGUAUUCUUUGCUGAGUUUGGUUUUGUUUUGUUUUACAGUACACAUGUUUUGAAGCCUUGGCCUGCAAACUUGAUUUUUAGACAGCAAAGGACUACGGGCUAAUCCCAUAAAAAACAAAC